This is a long non-coding RNA of Gambusia affinis (western mosquitofish), 1333 nucleotides long. RefSeq lists it as uncharacterized. The record is from RefSeq and is a predicted model, not a curated record. NCBI's taxonomy places the organism in Eukaryota, Metazoa, Chordata, Actinopteri, Cyprinodontiformes, Poeciliidae. The transcript is spliced from 13 exons.
CAGCAUUCUGGAUCAGCUGCAGCUGUUUGAUUGCUGCAGCUGAUCCUGGACAUACUAUUAAGUCAAGUAGAACCAAUUCUCACCUGGUGAGACUGUUGGUUUUUGUUAAACCUUGAGUGCCAACUCUGCUCUCCUCCACAGAGUGAUGCUGGUCUCAUUUUGAUUGGAUGCUCUGAAGCCAUCUGGAUUUGUAGGAGCUAAAAACACAACAUGAAGAGAUAGUGAUGCUGGUCUCAUCUUGACUGGAUGCUCUGAAGUCAUCUCGAUAUUCAAGCUCUAAAAACACAAUGAGUCAGAGGUGAAUACACUUCCUUUAAGGUGACCUAUUGUACUUCUUUGAACAGAGUGAUGCUGGUCUCAUCUUGACUGGAUGCUCUGAAGCCAUCUGGAUUUGUAGGAGCUAAAAACACAACAUGAAGAGAGAGUGAUGCUGGUCUCAUCUUGACUGGAUGUUCUGAAGUCUUUGGCAUUUUCAAGCUCUAAAAACACAAUAAGUCAGAGGUGAUACACUUCCUUAAAGGUGACCUAUUGUACUUCUUUGAACUGAGUGAUGCUGGUCUCAUCUUGACUGGAUGCUCUGAAGCCAUCUGGAUUUGUCGGAGCUAAAAACACAACAUGAAGAGAGAAUGAUGCUGGUCUCAUCUUGACUGGAUGCUCUGAAGUUAUCUGGAUUUUCAAGCUCUAAAAACACAAUGAGUCAGAGGUGAUACACUUCCUUAAAGGUGACCUAUUGUACUUCCUUGAACAGAGUGAUGCUGGUCUCAUCUUGACUGGAUGCUCUGAAGCCAUCUGGAUUUUCAGGAUCUAAAGACACAAUGAGGAAAUAUUAAUCUCUCCCUUCACCAGUUACUUGUGCUCAACUGGAUCUCAACCCAAGAACCCGGAGUCCUGACAGAAACAUUUCCUAAACCAAGUAAAUGAAGAAGGGAUGGAGGUGGGUUGAAGCUCAGCUGGUGAGCAGAUGGAGCCGCAGAUGGAGGAGAGUAUUGAGGUGCGCUCCGAUGCUGAUAGGCUGUGGUAGAAGCACACGACGCAGCGAUUGGAUGAUGCAGUAACUUUACCUGGCACGUUACAUCCCAGGAUGCUGUUGUGAUGGUCACUUUUAUGCCUUUGGGAUGUGUGUGAGUGUGUGUGUGUGUGUGUGCGCGUGUGUGUGCGUGUGUGUUGGGGGUGCAUCGAGAUGGGGAUGUUUUUAGCAGUAAAUCAAAUAUUGUUUAUCUAUUUAUGUAUCAAUUCAUUCUAUGUGGAUGAAAAGGUUGAAACAAUAACUGAAAUAAAAACAUUACAAUAACUUUAUGGUAUCUGUCAAGGGCAUUAAAAACUCACUUUGUGU